UACUAGAGUAGCACUCGCAUAUCAAUAAGCGGAGGAAAAGAAACUAACAAGGAUUCCCCUAGUAACGGCGAGUGAAGCGGGAAGAGCUCAAAUUUGAAAUCUUAAAGGGUUUCCCUUUACGAAUUGUAGUUUAAAGAAGUGUUUUCUGUUGAGGUUUUGGUAAAAGUUCUUUGGAAUAGGACAUCAUAGAGGGUGAGAAUCCCGUAUUUGACCUUUACUUUCAACUUUGUGAUACACUUUCAAAGAGUCGGAUUGUUUGGGAAUGCAGUCCAAAAUGGGUGGUAAAUUUCAUCUAAAGCUAAAUAUUGGCGAGAGACCGAUAGCGAACAAGUACCGUGAGGGAAAGAUGAAAAGAACUUUGAAAAGAGAGUUAAACAGUACGUGAAAUUGUCAAAAGGGAAGCGUUUGACACCAGUGUUGUUUUUCUGAAAAUCAAUUAAAGAACUGUUUAUGCUAAGCUGUUUAGACUUUAUCAGCUAUCUGUUUAGUUUUGAGCUUUUCUUUAAUGCACUUUUCAGUUAACAAGUCAACAUCAAUUUCUUUUGCUGUAAAAAAGCUUGAGGAAGGUGGCUUGAGAUUCGUCUUAAGUGUUUAUAGCCUCUCGCCUAUGCAGUCGGAGAGAUUGAGGUCUGCAGCGUAGAUCCUUCGGGGCUAAAUGCAUUUGUGCUAAGUUAUAGCAUUUUAUAGACAACUUGUUGACUAUGAUUUGUCUUGUAGCUUACUCGCUUAUGUUAUUUUACCUACGCUUAGGAUGUUGAGUAGCGACAUACGCAC
Molecule: ribosomal RNA, 774 nt
Filed under: uncultured Neocallimastigales
Lineage: Eukaryota; Fungi; Neocallimastigomycota; Neocallimastigomycetes; Neocallimastigales
Description: partial large subunit ribosomal RNA
Rfam family: Eukaryotic large subunit ribosomal RNA
Source: RNAcentral